CAUUCUCUGGAAUGCCCGACGGUUGCAACUCAACCCCGGCCAACCAAAUUUCAAACCGUCCCCAGGCUCGAUCGUGGUGUGCCAGCCCGCCCAUGAGCGGGACGCCUGAAGCGGUAUCCCGGGGCAUUGUCGAUAUGUGCGGCCGGACAGAGGAGAUCGUCGGCAUUCCGGAGAUGAA
This 178-nucleotide non-coding RNA is filed under the name Deltaproteobacteria bacterium. Its description in RNAcentral is "6S RNA". It matches the Rfam family "6S / SsrS RNA". From Rfam's summary of the family: E. coli 6S RNA was the first non coding RNA to be sequenced, but its function was unknown until recently. Lineage: Bacteria; Pseudomonadati; Myxococcota; Myxococcia. The record is from RNAcentral.